UUGAACGCUGGCGGAAUGCUUUACACAUGCAAGUCGAACGAGGUCCAUUCAGUAGCAAUACUGAUGAAGGCCGAGUGGCGAACGGGUGAGUAACACGUGAGAAGCCUAUCCUGGUCUCUGGGAUAACAGUCGGAAACAACUGCUAAUACCGGAUGCCGUCGGAGCGCUGCAUGGCGCACUGACGAAAGGGUUACUGGAUCAGGAGGGUCUCGCGGCCUAUCAGCUUGUUGGUGGGGUAACGGCCUACCAAGGCAUCGACGGGUAGUUGGUCUGAGAGGAUGAUCAGCCACACUGGGACUGAGACACGGCCCAGACUCCUACGGGAGGCAGCAGUGGGGAAUCUUGCGCAAUGGGCGAAAGCCUGACGCAGCAACGCCGCGUGCGGGAAGAAGGCCCUCGGGUUGUAAACCGCUUUCAGAAGGAACGAAACUGACGGUACUUUCAGAAGAAGGUGCGGCCAACUACGU
This 467-nucleotide ribosomal RNA is filed under the name uncultured bacterium. Its description in RNAcentral is "bacterial SSU rRNA". It matches the Rfam family "Bacterial small subunit ribosomal RNA", at positions 30 to 506 of the family's 1533-position model. The record is from RNAcentral.